GAUGAACGCUAGCGGCAGGCCUAAUACAUGCAAGUCGAACGGGAUCCAGAUCAAAGCUUGCUUUGGUUUGGUGAGAGUGGCGCACGGGUGCGUAACGCGUGAGCAACCUACCCUUGUCAGGGGGAUAGCCCGGCGAAAGUCGGAUUAAUACCGCAUGACAUCAUUGAGAGGCAUCUUUCGAUGAUCAAAGAUUUAUCGGACAAGGAUGGGCUCGCGUGACAUUAGCUAGUUGGUAAGGUAACGGCGUACCAAGGCUACGAUGUCUAGGUGCUCUGAGAGGAGAAUCCCCCACACUGGUACUGCGACACGGACCAGACUCCUACGGGAGGCAGCAGUAAGGAAUAUUGGUCAAUGGACGGUAGUCUGAACCAGCCAUGCCGCGUGCAGGAAGACGGCCCUAUGGGUUGUAACCUGCUUUUAUACGGGAACAAACGUCGGUACGUGUACCGGUCUGAGUGUACCGUAAGAAUAAGGAUCGGCUAACUCCGUG
This 490-nucleotide ribosomal RNA is filed under the name uncultured bacterium. RNAcentral's name for it is "partial 16S ribosomal RNA". It matches the Rfam family "Bacterial small subunit ribosomal RNA", at positions 28 to 507 of the family's 1533-position model. The record is from RNAcentral.